UUACUACCAUUCAGUUGAGGACUCUAAUGAGACUGCCAACGAUAAGUUGGAGGGAAGGUGGGGAUGACGUCAAAUCAUCAUGCCCUUUAUGACCUGGGCUACAAACGUACUACAAUGGCCGGUACAAAGAGAUGCGAAGUGGCGACAUGGAGCGAACCUCAGAAAGCCGGUCUCAGUUCAGAUUGAAGUCUGCAACUCGACUUCAUGAAGGCGGAAUCGCUAGUAAUCGCGGAUCAGCACGCCGCGGUGAAUACGUUCCCGGGCCUU
This 267-nucleotide ribosomal RNA is filed under the name uncultured Mollicutes bacterium. Its description in RNAcentral is "partial 16S ribosomal RNA". It matches the Rfam family "Bacterial small subunit ribosomal RNA", at positions 1115 to 1382 of the family's 1533-position model. The record is from RNAcentral. Lineage: Bacteria; Bacillati; Mycoplasmatota; Mollicutes.